Molecule: long non-coding RNA, 460 nt
Organism: Momordica charantia (bitter melon)
Lineage: Eukaryota; Viridiplantae; Streptophyta; Magnoliopsida; Cucurbitales; Cucurbitaceae
Source: RefSeq, a predicted model, not a curated record
GAAGAAGAGGGAUAGACGAGAGUCACCACCAUGAAAGAUAGAGAUCAAGCCACCGCCUCCACCCACCUUAAAUCGGCGGCACCACCCGGGGAAUCCGCUUCACCUGCCAAAUUACUCUCUCUACUCCUCCACUAACUUGGCAAUUGACUGAGUAUGAUGACGGCAACCUUUUAGGGUGAGAGGUAUUUACACGAAGCAAUGGAUAUGCAUUACUGAGAGUGACUGCAGAUACUAACAUAGAGAACAAACAAUAACGAGAGUAAGAGCAACAGUGAGAGUCAGAGCAAGAGCGAGACAAAAUACAGAGAGGUUUUUUUUUAUAUAUUUUUAUAUAUAUUUGUUUGAUAUUGCUAGAGAAUGAGAAUUUUUAACAUUACUGGAGAAUUAAAAUACAUCAAAAUAUUUGAAAUUUAUUGGAAACCAACGCAACUAAGGCCACAAUGCCUCCAUUGCUCGCAAA